RNAcentral lists this ribosomal RNA (296 nucleotides) under uncultured bacterium. RNAcentral's name for it is "partial 16S ribosomal RNA". It matches the Rfam family "Bacterial small subunit ribosomal RNA", at positions 334 to 627 of the family's 1533-position model. The record is from RNAcentral.
AAGCCCUACGGGACGCAGCAGUGAGGAAUAUUGGUCAAUGGGCGGGAGCCUGAACCAGCCAAGUCGCGUGAGGGAAGACGGUCCUAUGGAUUGUAAACCUCUUUAGGCGGGGAGCAAUGCCGGGCACGCGUGCCCGGAGGGAGAGUACCCGCAGAAUAAGCAUCGGCUAACUCCGUGCCAGCAGCCGCGAUAAUACGGAGGAUGCGUGCGUUAUCCGGAUUUAUUGGGUUUAAAGGGUGCGUAGGCGGAUUUUUACGUCAGCGGUAAAAUGUCCGGGCUCAACCCGGGCCUGCCGU